Molecule: long non-coding RNA, 1239 nt
Filed under: Homo sapiens (human)
Lineage: Eukaryota; Metazoa; Chordata; Mammalia; Primates; Hominidae
Description: HSALNT0212522
Source: RNAcentral
CGAGCCCCGAACUUGCGGGAAGAAAGGACUGCCCCCUUCCAACCCGUUCGGGUUGGUUUGCGCUGGAACGCCACGCUUUUCAAAGUGUCUGAGUGAUAGGUACUUUCUAAAUAUGUACAGCGAUGGCCUGAUAAGCAACUAAGCGUCUGGCUUCGCGGGUUCAUGCCCGAGGCUGUGCGGUCGGGGGAGGCUGGGGGCUCAGCCGAAACCUCAGCUCCUCCUUACAGGCCUGGUUUGGAAACGGGCUGUACACUGCUGGGGGCCCCACUUUCCAAUGUUUACUUCUGAGAUUGGAAGAAGAAGACAAGAAACACCUCCUCACCCCCUACCCUCUGCCUCCACGCCCGCGACUCAGCCCAGGUGACCCAAACGGCAGAGUCAACUUGGCGCAACCGGAGCGUCCCCAUCGCGCCGGCCACCCCCAGCCCCCUUCGCCCCUCGCUUGGCCCCACAAUGCGCCGUUGUGCCGCGCCUGCCGUCAGGCCGGGGAUUUGGAGCAGGGAUGGGGGGAAUAUUCGUCAGAUAUUUAAAACAGAGCCGAGAGAACAAAGCAGGCCUUUGUGCAGCAGGGCGGCCCGGGAGCUGGGAGCCGCCGGCCCCCAAGCACUGUGCUGGGCCAGGAGAGUGCGCAUGCGCGCGGCGACCUGUGCGCUCGGGUUCUGUGCCGGCUUUUACCCCAGCUGAAUAACCUGGUGGUCACAAGAAAGCAAAGGGAUUUUUAUGUGACAUCAUCUUGGCAAGAAGCUCCCUUACCAACCUUGACCUCCAGGUCUCCAUGGCAACUGCUGCUGGGACAUCAUUGGCACCAGAUUGUGUCCCUUAAAGGCCACACUGCAGCAAGGGCAGAUAAACAAUUUCAUGGCAACAGUCACGUAGCAAUCUCAUUCUUAAAUGUGGGCUGGUUAGUUAGGAUGAUUGACUUGCUUGACCAACAGAAUAUGCUAGGAGCAACAUUCUGGAACUUCCAAGGCUUGGUUGUAAGAAGCUUUGCAAUAUCUGCCUGGAUCUCUUAGAACCUUCAAUAUGGGACACUUGCUCUAGAAAUCAGCCACCAUCCUGUGAGAAGUCCAAGCCACAGAGUGAGGCCAGAAAUAGUUGCUGCAGUCAAGAGCCCCAGCUGAGCUCUCAGCCAACAUUCAGCAUCACUGCCAGCCAUGUGAGUGAGUGAUGGUGACCUUGGAUGUCCAGCUCAGUAGAACCUUCAGAUGAUUUCAGCCCUAGCCGUUCCAACUGCAAGAC